RNAcentral lists this ribosomal RNA (250 nucleotides) under uncultured prokaryote. RNAcentral describes it as "partial 16S ribosomal RNA". It matches the Rfam family "Bacterial small subunit ribosomal RNA", at positions 524 to 774 of the family's 1533-position model. The record is from RNAcentral.
UACGUAGGGAGCAAGCGUUAUCCGGAUUUAUUGGGUGUAAAGGGUUCGUAGGCGGUUUCUUAAGUCUAUAGUCUAAGCCCGGAGCUUAACUCCGGUUCGCUAUGGAAACUGAGUUACUUGAGUGCAGUAGAGGCAAGUGGAAUUUCUAGUGUAGCGGUUAAAUGCGUAGAUAUUAGAAGGAACACCAGUGGCGAAGGCGACUUGCUGGGCUGUUACUGACGCUGAGGAACGAAAGCGUGGGGAGCAAAUA